Molecule: ribosomal RNA, 614 nt
Filed under: Salmonella enterica
Lineage: Bacteria; Pseudomonadati; Pseudomonadota; Gammaproteobacteria; Enterobacterales; Enterobacteriaceae
Also listed under: 1 other name
Description: partial 23S ribosomal RNA
Rfam family: Bacterial large subunit ribosomal RNA
Source: RNAcentral
GCCUUGAAAUACCACCCUUUAAUGUUUGAUGUUCUAACGUGGACCCGUGAUCCGGGUUGCGGACAGUGUCUGGUGGGUAGUUUGACUGGGGCGGUCUCCUCCUAAAGAGUAACGGAGGAGCACGAAGGUUGGCUAAUCCUGGUCGGACAUCAGGAGGUUAGUGCAAUGGCAUAAGCCAGCUUGACUGCGAGCGUGACGGCGCGAGCAGGUGCGAAAGCAGGUCAUAGUGAUCCGGUGGUUCUGAAUGGAAGGGCCAUCGCUCAACGGAUAAAAGGUACUCCGGGGAUAACAGGCUGAUACCGCCCAAGAGUUCAUAUCGACGGCGGUGUUUGGCACCUCGAUGUCGGCUCAUCACAUCCUGGGGCUGAAGUAGGUCCCAAGGGUAUGGCUGUUCGCCAUUUAAAGUGGUACGCGAGCUGGGUUUAGAACGUCGUGAGACAGUUCGGUCCCUAUCUGCCGUGGGCGCUGGAGAACUGAGGGGGGCUGCUCCUAGUACGAGAGGACCGGAGUGGACGCAUCACUGGUGUUCGGGUUGUCAUGCCAAUGGCACUGCCCGGUAGCUAAAUGCGGAAGAGAUAAGUGCUGAAAGCAUCUAAGCACGAAACUUGCCCCGA